AGUACAGUUAUGAUGCAAGCUUUAUGACUUUCUACAGCCCAACCUGUUCUUUUAUUUAACCAGAAAAUGACCUUAUUCUUCUAUUACAAAAGCAUUCCAGAGAGACUGGUGCAUUGUGGGUGUCCAUUACGGCCCAGCAGGCAUCAGUGGGCGGCCGUCUUUGUAGGUCUCUGGAUUAAGGGAGUGGUUGGGAACUGGAUGAGAGCCAAUGGCUAAACGCAAACUGAUGAGGACGCCCUUCUGAAGAACUUGUGGAAAUAAAUGUGCAAAUGAGUGUCUGAGCAAAACUCAAUGCCACAGCGCAGGCUUUUUUGACAACCCAUUCUCACUCCAAAGGCGUCAAAAACCGAAGCAUGGUCAAGCGCCCCUAGCGUCACUUUUAUGACGCCAAAUGUGCCUCUCGGCGUCGACUAUCGAAGCACUACGACCUUCAUUGCUUUCAGUGGGAAACUUUUGGCGUCAGAAUUCGACACGAGGACAUGAGAUGUUUAUCGCUAUGAAAUCACGUUCAAGAAGUCUCAUUCAGCACACAUCGCGCGAUACUUGCUAUCAGUUCCACAGUUUGGCUGAAAAGACGUAAAGGCAGUCAGCCCAGUGGUGUUUCUGGAAAGGGAUUCCUUCAGAAAUGGAGAAGACAGAAAGCUGCGGAGGCAGAUAUUUGCAGCAGUAAGUCUGUGAUAGUUUGUCUCUUUUAUCAAAAAUUCCUGCUGUUAUAAUUUGUACAGCAUUUGUUGUUUCUUAAACUGUUGCACUGUCCAAAUACCCACACUUGCCAUCUUUCCACUUGACCACUUGAUUACUUAUUUGAAGUCUUUCCUGUAUUUGGCCUAGUGUUCAAGUGAGCAUGAUGACCACAAGUGUGUGUCAAACUUUUCAUGACCUGAUGACUGUGUUUCCCAAUCCUGAUCCUGGAGAACCCCAGCACUGCACGGUUUUGGCGUCUCUCUUAUCUGCCUUGGAGUCUUCACUGAUGAGCUGAUGAGUUGAAUCAGGUGUGUUUGAUCAGGGAGACAUCUCAAAUGUGCAGUGUUGGGGUUCUCCAGGACCAGGAUUGGGAGCCACUGCCUUAUGGGACACUUAUGUGUUUAAAGAGAUUUUUAAUAUCUAAUUAUCAAUAUUUCACAUACUGUACAUUGGACAGCUUUCCGUGACCUCUUGUGAGAUCUCGGCAAAAAGUCUGACGAUUUAUUCCAAAACAUGAUGCAUGAUGGGAUACACUAAGCUUUGUAUAGCGCUCCGGAGCAGUAUUGGAGAGGUUUAGUGUGUGUUAAGGACGCUGUGCUUUGGCAUUAUUAAGACCGGGGACAGUCUCGUUCACACACUGUCAUGUACACACACUCUCAAGUGGCCAAGACUGCAAGUGUGGGUAUCUGGACAGGGUCAAAGUCUUAAAAAUGAUCCCUAAACACAUCACAGUCUUAAUAAUCCAGUUUAACACUUGUAUGAUAUUGUACAAGCCCCAGGACGGUCUCAUCUGACACUAUCAAAAGAAUUCAUAUGACUAUAGCUUGUUAUUAAUUACUUGCUUUCAAUAAUGGAUUCAUUUAACAUUUAAUUUUACAGCAUCUUUACAGAGGUGUAAUGUACAAGCUGCACGUAAUUAAUAAUAUGUCCUUCCUUCUGUCUUACAGGAUUUUUUCCAGAUAAUGCUGUUCUUCUUUUUCAGGUCUAAAAUAUCAAGCUCAACAGCUCACUCAAGAGCCAACCCUCACAAACCUUCCUAAAACCUAAAAGAGUUAUUACUGAGUCUCAGCGAAUCUUGCCAUGAUCAGCUCUUCCCAGGUACAUUUGUUUAGAAUAUUUUUUAAUCAACAUUUACUCAUCAAAUGCUCUGGUCUGAAUCUUACUUUAAAUUAACUUAAUUAUGUUUAAUGAGCAAUAUUAAUUGCUCAGAGAGUAAGUAGAGAUUUUCUUGUUUCACAGAAGAGAAGGAAGACCAAGGAAAUGAUUUGCUCAGGAUGAGAAAUGAAGACGGCCAUCUUGAGCUCAAACAAACAGAAGUCCUCUGGUAUGUGUGUGUUGAAGCAAUGCUGUGUUAUACAACAUUUUAUGAUGAUCUCUCACAGAACUGGUCAUGUCAGCCUUGAUUUCGUU
This 2094-nucleotide long non-coding RNA is filed under the name Carassius auratus (goldfish). RNAcentral's name for it is "lncRNA (ENSCARG00000000218.1)". Lineage: Eukaryota; Metazoa; Chordata; Actinopteri; Cypriniformes; Cyprinidae. The record is from RNAcentral.